UAAUUAUCAACUCCACCACCACUUGCUCCCCACCCAACAAAUGCAAUAUUCACUCUCAUUUCAUUUUCAUCCAACAGUUCAGAGGAUCAAUUCCAGUUCGUUUCAGCCGAAGCUCUCAAGGUAAUGCUUGGCUUCAAUGCUUUCUUCUCCUUUGAUUAAGUUCAUCCUGCAAUUGUUAAGCAAAUAAGCAAUUUAUUUCAGUUUCUAUCCACUGAUUCAAACACCACAGCAGCCAACAUCAAUUUACAGCAACUCACUCCUGGAGAAAUCAACUUAUUUUCAUAAGAGGUCAAGCGCGAGAGUAAGAACUACACAAGGAGUUAGAGUACCUUAGCAAAACUUUGCUAUCAGGUUGAGCUGUGAUGGGCGAUGAAGUGUUGCUGAGUGGAGUUUUUGUUGAACUUAAAGUAGGCUCAGAAAGGAUACAUGUCUUCAUACAUGUAUCUCAGUUAUGCAUUCCGCUGUAAACACGGAUUAUUUCAGUUACACCUUCCGUUGCAAACUCUGAUAAUGUUUUAGCCAAGCCCCUAACGAUGCCUUUUUCCUUUUAAGGAAUAUAACGCGUAUACAAGUUCUUUGAGUACCCUUUUUAUGCGAACUAUGUCUUUUUCCUUUUA
This is a long non-coding RNA of Salvia miltiorrhiza (redroot sage), 617 nucleotides long. RefSeq lists it as uncharacterized. NCBI's taxonomy places the organism in Eukaryota, Viridiplantae, Streptophyta, Magnoliopsida, Lamiales, Lamiaceae. The transcript has 3 exons. The record is from RefSeq and is a predicted model, not a curated record.